This 62-nucleotide transfer RNA is filed under the name Haemaphysalis sulcata. Its description in RNAcentral is "tRNA-Tyr". Lineage: Eukaryota; Metazoa; Arthropoda; Arachnida; Ixodida; Ixodidae. The record is from RNAcentral.
GGUAAAAUGGCUGAAUUUAGGCGGUAAAUUGUAAAUUUAUUUAUGGAAAAUUCCUUUUGCUA